UAUUUCAGAACAAUGACGGGCUCCAAGAUGCUGUUCGGAUGUAUGGCGUUAAUUGCUUUUCUGCAUCCAUUAGUUCACGUGGCGUCAGCUCAAGAAUGUACCACGCCGAACAAUCAAACAGGCAAGUGUCUUGGCAUCAGAGUAUGUAAACCACUGCUGGAAAUGCUGCAGACACAAGGCCAAGCAGCUGUCGAUUUUCUGAGGCGAUCAGUGUGCAAAUACGAGAAUAAUAACCCGAUCGUUUGUUGUCCGAACGAACAAAGCAGGGAGGACAGAGGAAUUUUGGAAGAAAACGAGUAUGGGCCUUUGCGUCCACCACAAUGUGGUUUUAGCAACAUCUCUCAUACCAGGGUGGUCGGUGGUAAACCAGCUGAACUUGGCGCUUGGCCAUGGAUUGCUGCAUUAGGUUUUCAUUAUCCCAGAAACCCAGUUCUUGAACCAUUAUGGAAGUGCGGAGGUUCCCUGAUAUCGUCUAGGCAUGUUUUAACCGCAGCACAUUGUGCAGAAAUCAAUGAAUUGUACGUGGUUCGUAUCGGUGACUUAAAUCUAGUACGAAAUGACGACGGAGCGCAUCCUGUUCAAAUAGAAAUCGAAUCUAAAAUAAUACAUCCUGAUUAUAUUUCCGGGGUAACCAAACAUGAUAUCGCCAUUCUUAAAUUGGUGGAGCAGGUGCAAUUUUCAGAAUACGUAUAUCCCAUUUGUCUUCCCGUAGAGGAUAAUCUUCGAAAUAACAACUUCGAGCGCUAUUACCCCUUCGUUGCUGGAUGGGGAUCAGUAGGACAUCAUGGACCCGGUAGUGAUGAUUUAAUGGAAGUACAAGUGCCAGUGGUUAGCAACACCGAAUGCAAGAACUCUUAUGCCAGAUUUGCUACUGCACAUGUCACUGAUAACGUAUUAUGCGCCGGAUACACUCAGGGCGGAAAGGAUGCUUGUCAAGGUGACAGCGGGGGACCACUGAUGCUACCAAAGAAAUUCACCUUCUAUCAAAUAGGUGUUGUGUCUUAUGGUUUUAAGUGCGCCGCAGCUGGAUAUCCUGGCGUUUACACUAGGGUCACAUCGUACCUUGACUUCAUUCUCCAAGCGAUGCAAUAAUACGAUUAUUAAUGUUAUAUAAAUAUCAUUUUUCGUAUACGAAAAGUAAAGUUAGAUUUUCUUGUUGUGGAGAUAAGAGACAGCUCAAAUUUAUAUUGCUUUGUACGUCAAGAAUUAUAGCCUUAAAAUGCAUGUGAUGUAACUUUGAAACGACACUAAUUUCUUACGCACGUCAAAUCUGCACAACUUAGAUAUGUAAAGGUGAUAAAUGAACAUUAAUUAAAUUUCUAUUAAUUUUGGUAAUAAUAAAU
RNA transcript from Bombus impatiens (common eastern bumble bee), 1343 nucleotides. It is a transcript of the gene named venom serine protease Bi-VSP, with no coding region annotated. Lineage: Eukaryota; Metazoa; Arthropoda; Insecta; Hymenoptera; Apidae. The transcript is spliced from 7 exons. The record is from RefSeq and is a predicted model, not a curated record.